CUGUGCUGUGGUUUGUUCCACCUGUGUGUGGUCUGGUUCUACUGGUUCUACUGGUUCUACUGGUGAGACGAUGUGUUCAGAGGAAACCUGAAGUUGCUGAAUUAAAAGUUGGAGAAGAUGACAUCACUGAUGAAAUCACAUACAGUCAGCAGCCAAUCAGAUGGAGUGGAGGGUAUUAUUCAGUUGUAGUUUACUCAGCAGUGAAAACAACAGAAGACGUCAGUGAUGGACAAAGAGUCGUCAAAUCAAACAGGAAGAGAGAUUAUGAUCCAGCUGCAGCUCACUCAGUAGUGAGAAGAGCAGAGAGGAGAGAGUGUCUCCAUUAGAGCCAGAGGUUGUCUACUCUUCACUGAGGUAGACCUCCACACCUUCACACCAGUCCAACCACUGACGUCCAGCUGGCCUGUUACUGGUCUCCAGAGCCCCUCAGACAGUAGUACAUUCAUUUAUAGAUUUCAUAUACUUCAUGUUGU
This is a long non-coding RNA of Scomber japonicus (chub mackerel), 473 nucleotides long. RefSeq lists it as uncharacterized. The record is from RefSeq and is a predicted model, not a curated record. NCBI's taxonomy places the organism in Eukaryota, Metazoa, Chordata, Actinopteri, Scombriformes, Scombridae. The transcript has 5 exons.